Molecule: ribosomal RNA, 509 nt
Filed under: uncultured bacterium
Lineage: Bacteria
Description: bacterial SSU rRNA
Rfam family: Bacterial small subunit ribosomal RNA
Source: RNAcentral
GAUGAACGCUAGCGGCAGGCCUAAUACAUGCAAGUCGAACGGAUAUAUGUUUUUCGGAAUAUAUAUUAGUGGCGCACGGGUGAGUAACACGUACAUAACUUGCCCUCAAGCGGGGGAUAGCCUUGGGAAACUGAGAGUAAUACCCCAUAGAAUUAUUGGACGGCAUCGUUUGAUAAUUAAAACUACGGUGCUUGGGGAUAGAUGUGCGUCUGAUUAGCUAGUUGGUGAGGUAACUGCUCACCAAGGCGACGAUCAGUAGGGGGCGUGAGAGCGUGGCCCCCCACACGGGUACUGAGACACGGACCCGACUCCUACGGGAGGCAGCAGUAAGGAAUAUUGGUCAAUGGAGGGAACUCUGAACCAGCCAUGCCGCGUGAAGGAUGACGGCCCUCUGGGUUGUAAACUUCUUUUGGAUGGGGCGAAAAAACGGGAUUUAUCCUGGACUGACGGUACCAUCAGAAUAAGCACCGGCUAACUCCGUGCCAGCAGACGCGGUAAUGUAGUCGUGU